GUAGGUGAACCUGCAGAAGGAUCAUUG
This 27-nucleotide ribosomal RNA is filed under the name Schizochytrium aggregatum. RNAcentral describes it as "partial 18S ribosomal RNA". Lineage: Eukaryota; Bigyra; Thraustochytrida; Thraustochytriidae. The record is from RNAcentral. RNAcentral also lists the same sequence under 2 other names.